UAACACAUGUCAAGUCGAGCGAGGAGAAAAGAGCUUGCUCUUGGAACCUAGCGGCGGACGGGUGAGUAACGCGUGGGUAACCUGCCCUAUACACACGGAUAACAUACCGAAAGGUAUGCUAAUACGGGAUAAAGCUAAGAUAAGGCAUCUUAUCAUAGUCAAAGCGAAAGCGGUAUAGGAUGGGCCCGCGUCCCAUUAGCUAGUUGGUGAGGUAAAAGCUCACCAAGGCGACGAUGGGUAGCCGACCUGAGAGGGUGAUCGGCCACACUGGAACUGAGACACGGUCCAGACUCCUACGGGAGGCAGCAGUGGGGAAUAUUGCACAAUGGGGGAAACCCUGAAUGCAGCAACGCCGUCGNUGAGCGAAGAAGGCCUUCGGGUCGUAAAGCUCUGUCCUAAGGGAAGAAGGAUUGACGGUACCUUAGGAGGAAGCCCCGGCUAACUACGUGCCAGCAGCCGCGGUAAUACGUAGGGGGCAAGCGUUAUCCGGAAUUACUGGGCGUAAAGGGUGCGUAGGCGGCUGUACAAGUCAGAGGUGAAAGGCUACGGCUCAACCGUAGUAAGCCUUUGAAACUGUACGGCUUGAGUGCAGGAGAGGAGAGUAGAAUUCCCAGUGUAGCGGUGAAAUGCGUANAUAUUGGGAGGAAUACCAGUUGCGAAGGCGGCUCUCUGGACU
Molecule: ribosomal RNA, 676 nt
Filed under: Tepidibacter sp. NS55-A
Lineage: Bacteria; Bacillati; Bacillota; Clostridia; Peptostreptococcales; Peptostreptococcaceae
Description: bacterial SSU rRNA
Rfam family: Bacterial small subunit ribosomal RNA
Source: RNAcentral